GAAUCGUACAAUUUUUUUCUUCCUUCAGUGGUUUAAGGAGAUGUCGUAGAGGAUAGGAUUUGAACGCAAUGAGUGCCAGCCCGUUUGACACCCUCCAAAUCAAACACCGUUGGAGCUCUGAAUGAACGAGGGAAACAGAACCACCACACGACCGUGAGGUAAACCACCAUCGACUGUGUAGGUCAAGCAGCCACACAGGCUUCUUGAGCAAAAGGAUGGAUGACAUAGAGAGCUGGGAAGGAGUGAGCUUUGGGGUGCUGCUGCCUGCCUGAGCCCCCAGCCCUCGUCUGGUCUCCUGCCUGGCAUCUGAGAUGUAUUCCUCGGGGUCCCUGGGCCAGCUGGGAAGACAGCAUCUCGGAGGUCCUCCAGCGACAAAAAGAAGAGAAAGACAUUCCCCCCAAAGCUCUCCCUGCACACACGGCCCCUACACUCACACAGGGCGCAUGACUGGUUACUGCCCCAGCCACGGCCACGAGAAAGAAAAAGGCACCAUCACAGACACUGGUUGCUAAUCGUGCUUUUUUGCCCUCCAGGGGCAGAGUGUUGGAGAUCAAGGCCCGGGAAACGGCCGCUGUGGGGACUGUGCGCCGCCUCUG
This 596-nucleotide long non-coding RNA is filed under the name Neogale vison (American mink). RNAcentral describes it as "Neovison vison (American mink) lncRNA (ENSNVIG00000019880.1)". The record is from RNAcentral. Lineage: Eukaryota; Metazoa; Chordata; Mammalia; Carnivora; Mustelidae.